UGCUUGUCAGACAAGUAGGUAAAAUUUAGA
RNAcentral lists this non-coding RNA (30 nucleotides) under Homo sapiens (human). Lineage: Eukaryota; Metazoa; Chordata; Mammalia; Primates; Hominidae. The record is from RNAcentral.